Molecule: ribosomal RNA, 253 nt
Filed under: uncultured bacterium
Lineage: Bacteria
Description: partial 16S ribosomal RNA
Rfam family: Bacterial small subunit ribosomal RNA
Source: RNAcentral
UACGUAGGUGGCAAGCGUUGUCCGGAAUUAUUGGGCGUAAAGCGCGCACAGGUGGUUUCUUAAGUCUGAUGUGAAAGCCCACGGCUCAACCGUGGAGGGUCAUUGGAAACUGGGGAACUUGAGUGCAGAAGAGGAAAGUGGAAUUCCAAGUGUAGCGGUGAAAUGCGUAGAGAUGUGGAGGAACACCAGUGGCGAAGGCGACUCUUUGGUCUGUAACUGACGCUGAGGCGCGAAAGCGUGGGGAGCAAACAGG